AAAGCAGGGGAUCGCAAGACCUUGCACUAUUGGAGCGGCCGAUAUCGGAUUAGCUAGUUGGUGGGGUAACGGCUCACCAAGGCGACGAUCCGUAGCUGGUUUGAGAGGACGACCAGCCACACUGGGACUGAGACACGGCCCAGACUCCUACGGGAGGCAGCAGUGGGGAAUUUUGGACAAUGGGGGAAACCCUGAUCCAGCCAUCCCGCGUGUGCGAUGACGGCCUUCGGGUUGUAAAGCACUUUUGGCAGGAAAGAAACGUCAUGGGCUAAUACCGCGUGAAACUGACCGUACCUGCACAAUACGCACCGGCUAACUACAUGCCAGCAGCCGCGGUAAUACGUAAGGUGCGAGCGUUAAUCGGAAUUACUGGGCGUAAAGCGUGCGCUGGCGGUUCGGAGAGAAAGAUGUGAAAUCCCAAAGCUUAACUUUGUAACUGCAUUGUUAACUACCAAACUAGAAUGUGUCAUAGGGAGGUGGAAUUCCGCGAGUACCAGUGAAAUGCCUAUAUAUGCGGAGGAUCUCCGAUGGCGAACGCAGCCUCAUGGGAUAACACUGACGCUCAUGAACGAAUUCGUGGGGAGGAAACAGGAUUAGAUACCCUGGUAGUCCACGCCCUAGACGAUGUCUACUAUCUGUUGGGGCCUUCGGG
This 652-nucleotide ribosomal RNA is filed under the name Achromobacter kerstersii. RNAcentral's name for it is "bacterial SSU rRNA". It matches the Rfam family "Bacterial small subunit ribosomal RNA", at positions 202 to 836 of the family's 1533-position model. Lineage: Bacteria; Pseudomonadati; Pseudomonadota; Betaproteobacteria; Burkholderiales; Alcaligenaceae. The record is from RNAcentral.